GACGAACGCUGGCGGCGUGCCUAAUACAUGCAAGUUGAGCGAUGAAGAUUGGUGCUUGCACCAAUUUGAAGAGCAGCGAACGGGUGAGUAACGCGUGGGGAAUCUGCCUUUGAGCGGGGGACAACAUUUGGAAACGAAUGCUAAUACCGCAUAACAACUUUAAACAUAAGUUUUAAGUUUGAAAGAUGCAAUUGCAUCACUCAAAGAUGAUCCCGCGUUGUAUUAGCUAGUUGGUGAGGUAAAGGCUCACCAAGGCGAUGAUACAUAGCCGACCUGAGAGGGUGAUCGGCCACAUUGGGACUGAGACACGGCCCAAACUCCUACGGGAGGCAGCAGUAGGGAAUCUUCGGCAAUUGACGAAAGUCUGACCGAGCAACGCCGCGUGAGUGAAGAAGGUUUUCGGAUCGUAAAACUCUGUUGGUAGAGAAGAACGUUGGUGAGAGUGGAAAGCUCAUCAAGUGACGGUAACUACCCAGAAAGGGACGGCUAACUACGUG
RNAcentral lists this ribosomal RNA (497 nucleotides) under uncultured bacterium. Its description in RNAcentral is "partial 16S ribosomal RNA". It matches the Rfam family "Bacterial small subunit ribosomal RNA", at positions 28 to 507 of the family's 1533-position model. The record is from RNAcentral.